AUAAAAAAAAAUGGCCAGUGUUUGGUUCUGGCUGAGUGCGAUCGAGAGAGGGGGAAACCAGGAGAAAACUCUUCUCCUCAAAACCUAACAAAGAAAUCAUCAAAAUCAAGAGGCUUUAAGGCUGAAUUCUUGGUGCAUGAGUUAGGAAUUUAGGUCUCCUAACUAUAUUUGAUAUCAAGCACGAAGAAAGAAGAAAGCACGAGUCAUUUGAAGUCACAAGCAAUGCAAGAUCACGGUAAAUAGUCCCUUGGAGCAAAUUCUUGAACCGGAGGAACGAACACACAUCGCGCCAUUUAAUUGCUUCCGCUCGUCAAGUUCUUUAAAGGGUUGGUAGUGUCUUUUGGUUAAUGGAUGUUUUUUUUAUUAUGAUGUAACGGUUACAACUUUUAUGUCUUUUGGAAACGUGUCGUAGAAUUUAGUUCUAAAUGUAGAAUUUAGUUUGAAUGGUGAUUUUUUUAAAAGCAGGGAAUCGCUUAUGUUACAAACGGGUCAUGCCCGAUUUUUGUUAAAAUUUGUAUGUUAUUAUUUUUAUAUUCGAAUGUGAAAUAUGGGCGUUACAAGUUGGUAUCAGAGCCGAGAUUUGAGGGAUUCGAGCACCGGAUAGAGUGCCUGGACUCAAACCGAAAGCUCAAGAAGUGAUGUGUGUUCGCUCCAAGACGCGGUUAAGGCACGAAGAAAGAAGAAAGCACGAGUCAUUUGAAGUCACAAGCAACGCAAGAUCACGGUAAAUAGUCCCUUGGAGCAAAUUCUUGAACCGGAGGAACGAACACACAUCGCGCCAUUUAAUUGCUUCCGCUCGUCAAGUUCUUUAAAGGGUUGGUAGUGUCUUUUGGUUAAUGGAUGUUUUUUUUAUUAUGAUGUAACGGUUACAACUUUUAUGUCUUUUGGAAACGUGUCGUAGAAUUUAGUUCUAAAUGUAGAAUUUAGUUUGAAUGGUGAUUUUUUAAAAGCAGGGAAUCGCUUAUGUUACAAACGGGUCAUGCCCGAUUUUUGUUAAAAUUUGUAUGUUAUUAUUUUUAUAUUCGAAUGUGAAAUAUGGGCGUUACAUUUCGUCACCAA
Molecule: long non-coding RNA, 1059 nt
Organism: Helianthus annuus (common sunflower)
Lineage: Eukaryota; Viridiplantae; Streptophyta; Magnoliopsida; Asterales; Asteraceae
Exons: 5
Source: RefSeq, a predicted model, not a curated record